Molecule: ribosomal RNA, 253 nt
Filed under: uncultured bacterium
Lineage: Bacteria
Description: partial 16S ribosomal RNA
Rfam family: Bacterial small subunit ribosomal RNA
Source: RNAcentral
UACGUAGGGUGCGAGCGUUGUCCGGAAUUAUUGGGCGUAAAGGGCUCGUAGGCGGUCUGUUGCGUCAGGAGUGAAAACUCGGGGCUUAACCCCGAGCCUGCUUCUGAUACGGGCAGACUAGAGGUAUGCAGGGGAGAACGGAAUCCCUGGUGUAGCGGUGAAAUGCGCAGAUAUCAGGAGGAACACCGAUGGCGAAGGCAGGUCUCUGGGCCACUACUGACGCUGAGAAGCGAAAGCAUGGGGAGCGAACAGG